Molecule: long non-coding RNA, 3848 nt
Organism: Bos taurus (domestic cattle)
Lineage: Eukaryota; Metazoa; Chordata; Mammalia; Artiodactyla; Bovidae
Source: Ensembl
GGAGAUCUUCCCGAGCCAGGGAUUGAACCCCGGUGUCCCACAUGGUAGGCAUUGUAGGCAGACACUUUACCAUCUGAGCCACCAGGGAAGAUCCCCCCUGUUAAAUUCCUGAUUGGUCCCUCAGUUCUUUGUUUACUGUAAACAAAACUUCAACCUCAGGCUAUCCAAACUUCACUUUCUAGUAAGAGCAUGUACUUUGACCACGAUGUGCUCUGGGAGGUGCAGUGAAGCUGCUGGUUUUCGAUCUUUUCUGCCCUGACUGAAUGCAUUACCUCAAUGAUAGAGCUGGUUUGGGGAUCGGGAGGCCUGGGAUGAAAGCAAAUCCAGGCAGCCGCACUGCCACAGACUCACACUUCUGACCCUGAGUUUAGUGAGUUAUCACAAGUAAAUGCUCUGGUUAUUGACUGCCUGGGUCAGUUUCCAGAACGCUGAAAUGGUUGUGGUUUAUAGUUGCUUUGGAGGAAGAGAAUUUGUCAGCCUCCUCACUGUCCUCAGCAUAACUGCUUGUCUGUUCUUUGAAGGUUCAUUAUCAGAAUGAAUGGACCCAGCAGUAAAUUUGAGACACUAAUAUGUUUACAUUGUUUAAAGGAUAGAUAUGCUUCUAAAAUGCACUUUUAUAAGCAUGGUAAAUUGUAGAACAGAGAUAAAAGAACUUUAAUAUGGUUAGACAUGGGCUCAAGACCAUCUGAGCUUCUUGCUAUUCCUUAUAUAACUUAUUUAACGUCUAGGAACCUGUUUCUCUGUUAGUGAAACAGGGAUUAUAGUACCUGCUUUAUAAUGUGGUUGUGAGGAUUAAUUGAGAUAAUUAAAAAUACUGAGGAUAGGGCUUAGUAUCUAGGUAAAGGCCAGUUUCCCCUGUACAGGGUCGGCAAGUGAUUAAGGUUGAAUUUUAUGGAAUAUAUAUAUUUCAUAAUAUAUAUUACAUAUAUGUAUUUCUUUUAAAGAAUGAGACUCUGGGACUUGUUUUUUAACAAUUGGAAAAUUAGACUCUGAGAAGAAAGAUUAAAGGUGUUGGAACUGAGUCACCAGAAGAACAGAAAGCAGGGAGAGACGUCAGUGAAAGGAUACUGAAUAAUUAAUGUAGAAAUGGAUAGAAAUGCUGAUGAGAUGGAUUGGUUGGGGGGGGGUCGAGCAGAGAACCUGCACAAAGAAAAGAGACCAAUAAGAGCUCUCUGCCAUUAAGUCUUUAGCUCACCUAGAAUAGAGGGAAGCUGGUAACAAGGAUUACAUUCUGUCUUUGUCUCCUUAGAACUGCCUUGCCCAGUGCUCAUGGCUGGUGCUCUGAUUUGACCACCCUAGGAAGUGGCUCUUGCCCUUCACCUUCCUUCUCAUUUCUUAGGCAUUUUCUCCCAGUCCAGAAUGAGUCUCUGAGUGUACACUGUCAAAAAGUUCUCACUCAUAUUGACCCUGCAUGAGCCCCAAAGAUGAAGAGUGAUGAAAGAAGGAUUCAUUGAUCAACUCUCAGGGUACCAAGGAAGUACUAAUACUUAGAUACAGGAAAGAUAGCUGGAGAACCACCUCACUUUAGUAAUGAGCACUGGGGCCCAGAGAGGGUCUGUUUCUUGCCCGAGCUCACAGAGCAGUUUCGUGGCAAAACCAGCAUGGAGGUAGAUCAUUUGCCUUAGGAUUGGCCUAAUUGCUUGUGCUUUCACAGAAUUUAUCAGCAGGUCUAAACCCUGAUGCUAGGCCUGCAGGAUAAUGGCUUGAAGGCUCAGUAAGAUUUUUCUUCUUCAACAAAAAGCACAUUCAUAGCAGGAUGCCUGUUUGUUCAGGAAAGUGGGCUAAUGAAUUUUAGAGGGAUUUUUAACAAAGAUUGGAACAAAAAGUAUUCAGAUAAUUAAAACUAAAUAGACUGUCUGGGUCCCUGGAUAUUCUAAUUUAGAAGAGAAUUAUAGCGUCUGUGACACACUGACUAGACAGUCAAUAAAUGUGACUGACCGAGGUUGCUUGGAUGCCAGCGCAAUAAAGGGAUUCAAAUGUGGAUUGAAUUGAGUGUGGAUUAGAACGGCAGGUCAGAGAUCAAGCGCUAACAUAUAACUACCCAUCUCCCCUCCCCCAGAUAAUAAAUAACAUUGAACUCAGCCAUCCUCCCACUUUCUGAGCAGUCUGUUCUAUUUCUUCAGCCUAAGAACUGGCACGUAUAGGCCAUGAGGUUAUAUCCCAAAGGCCUCUGUGCUUUACCACACAGUCAGUGGGCUCUGCUCUGCUCCUCCUCGAGUCUGGCUGUUCCAAAGGGGUGAGGGACCCAAAGGCCAAGUGGAUGUCUAUUUUGCUUCCCAGACUUAACUGUGUACUUGAAUCGCUUGGAGAUCUUAUUUAGAUCCUCCGAUUCAGAAGGUCUAGGGUGGCACCUGAGAUUCUGCUUUUCUAAUAAGCUCCCAGAUAAUGAGAAUACUAAUGGUUCCCUCAGCCACACUUUGGGUACCACAGUUCUAGACCUCACUUCAGUACCAAGGACCCAUGGAUUUCCUGUCCAAAGAGCUGGAGCCAUAUCCAAGACCAACCCAUAGGAAUCUUUGAGGACAGACUGCCUAGGUGUGCAUACCCAUGGGCCUGAGGGGUCGCUGGGGGUGUUGUGUCAUGGUGUGAUGGGGAGGAUGGGGUUGGAAGACAAAGCUUGGCGUUUCAAGCUGGGGUGCUGUAUAAAGGAGCGUAACACUCUACAUGCUGUAGGACUGAGAUGGGGUGGGAGGAAAAAGGAGCCUCCCCAUUCAUACUCUUGUUCCGAGUUAGGAAUACCUUGUGAGUUAGGAGUGCUUGUGGGUACCUCAGGAAAGAUUGAGUUAAAAUUAUUUUAUUGUGAUUCUGUUUGACUAGUAUAAUUUUUAUUAUUUGAUCUCUGCACCUAAACAGAUUCUGUUUUCUUUUUUUUCCCAUGCCACUGUUGCAGUCUGAGAGAACUCUUUAUUUCCCUUUCAUGGUGUACACUGGAUGCUUAAAAAGAACUGUGAGUCAGGAUGAAAACUCGAGACAGUAGCCAAUUGUUGAGGAGUAGCUGCAGCCUUUGGCCAUCGUGCCACGCGAGGUCUGAGCUUCCCCAACACAAUAUGGACGUCACAAGGGGGUGCUUAUGUUGGCAGCCCAGGCAGACCCCACGGCAGCAGAAGCAGCACGAGCUGACGGAAAAGAGCACUGGGCGAAGAGUCAGGAGGCUUGGCUCGAGUUCAGUCUGCUGUGAAUGACAUGACUUUGGGCAAGCUGAGCAUUUUCUCCAUUGACAGAAACAGUGCUGCCCUCUCUUCUCAGAGUUCUUAUUGAGAUAAAAAAUAAUAAGUCUGAGUGGUUUGGGAAAGUAAAAAGCGAUGAUAAACAUUUGUACCGUUUCUUUAUUCGUUCAGCAAGCAUGUACAUGCCAGGCGUGGGUUAUCCCUGUUAGGACACCUGGAUGGCUCCUGAGCUGGACCUUGUGGGUUCUCAGGGCAGUGGAGAUGAAGCAGCAGCACAUCCAUGCAAUGCUGUGUGGGUGGGUCUUAGAACUUCAGCAGCUAUGAACUGCAAUAAAGAAUCAGAGGUGGUCAUGGACACCUCUGCCAGGGAGACUGGUGAAUUUUUCCCAGACCUGGUGGGUUUUGAUAUAGCUCUUGGAAAAUGAGAAAUUUACCCAGCUGAAAGGGAGUGAAAGGGUAUUUUAGGCAGAAGGACCGGCAUUUUCAAGGCACAGCCGUGUGAGUGUACAUAGAGAAUCAUCAAGUUAAAAUUAACCCACGGAUAUUCACUGAGUACCUACCUUCCUCUAGGACUGCUAAGAGCUGGGGAAAGAAAAUGAAUAAAACGGUCUUAGUUCCUACCUACUGUUGGAUGUAUUUAUUCAUUGUGUUAGUUUUCUUUGGCUGCAAUAACAAAUUGCC